AUACGUAGGUGACAAGCGUUAUCCGGAUUUAUUGGGUUUAAAGGGUGCGUAGGCGGUUUGCUAAGCGGGAGGUGAAAUGCCGGCGCUCAACGUCGGAAGUGCCUCCCGAACUGGUGGACUUGAAUGACUCUGCCGUGGGAGGAAUGUGUAGUGUAGCGGUGAAAUGCUUAGAGAUUACACAGAACACCGAUUGCGAAGGCAUCUCACGAAGGGUUGAUUGACGCUGAGGCACGAAAGCGUGGGGAUCAAACAGGAUUAGAUACCCUGGUAGUCCACGCAGUAAACGAUGAUGGCUAACCGCUGGGCUUAUCAGUUCAGUGGCCAAGCGAAAGCGAUAAGCCAUCCACCUGGGGAGUACGACCGCAAGGUUGAAACUCAAAUGAAUUGACGGGG
This 393-nucleotide ribosomal RNA is filed under the name uncultured bacterium. RNAcentral's name for it is "partial 16S ribosomal RNA". It matches the Rfam family "Bacterial small subunit ribosomal RNA", at positions 523 to 918 of the family's 1533-position model. The record is from RNAcentral.